RNAcentral lists this ribosomal RNA (292 nucleotides) under uncultured bacterium. RNAcentral describes it as "partial 16S ribosomal RNA". It matches the Rfam family "Bacterial small subunit ribosomal RNA", at positions 505 to 796 of the family's 1533-position model. The record is from RNAcentral.
GUGCCAGCAGCCGCGGUAAUACAGAGGUCCCAAGCGUUGUUCGGAUUCACUGGGCGUAAAGGGUGCGUAGGCGGUUGGGUAAGUCUGUCGUGAAAUCUCCGAGCCCAACUCGGAAACUGCGUCGGAUACUAUUCAACUCGAGGAAUGGAGGGGAGACUGGAAUUCUCGGUGUAGCAGUGAAAUGCGUAGAUAUCGAGAGGAACACCAGUGGCGAAGGCGAGUCUCUGGACAUUUCCUGACGCUGAGGCACGAAAGCCAGGGGAGCAAACGGGAUUAGAUACCCCAGUAGUCC